This 253-nucleotide ribosomal RNA is filed under the name uncultured bacterium. Its description in RNAcentral is "partial 16S ribosomal RNA". It matches the Rfam family "Bacterial small subunit ribosomal RNA", at positions 524 to 776 of the family's 1533-position model. The record is from RNAcentral.
GACAGAGGUUGCAAACGUUGUUCGGAAUUACUGGGCAUAAAGCGCACGUAGGUGGUUCGCUAAGUCGGAUGUGAAAUUCCCCGGCUCAACCGGGGAACGGCAAUCGAUACUGGCGGACUUGAGGUCCGGAGGGGUGAGUGGAACUCCUGGUGGAGCGGUGAAAUGCGUAGAUAUCAGGAGGAACACCGGUGGCGAAAGCGGCUCACUGGCCGGAAUCUGACACUGAGGUGCGAAAGCUAGGGUAGCAAACGGG